RNAcentral lists this small RNA (255 nucleotides) under Arabidopsis thaliana (thale cress). Its description in RNAcentral is "ATSL100730". Lineage: Eukaryota; Viridiplantae; Streptophyta; Magnoliopsida; Brassicales; Brassicaceae. The record is from RNAcentral.
AAAAAAAAUUUGAAGAGAACACAAAGCAUUAAAAUACUAAAAAUAAACAUAUUUUUUGUAAGAAUAUGUUGGUUCAUAAUAACCAUCAUCUCUCUCUUGUAUGGAAUCUCUCUUAAGCGUUUUUCACGAUUGAGUUCCUUAUUCUCCACUGAGUCAACUAACCAACUUGGUUUGAGAUCAGAGUGUUAUUGGCAGAUUUUACUAUCAUUUCUUAUAUUAACAAUAGGCUCAUCAAAUAUGUUUUAAAAUUGCAUU